AAUGAACGCUGGCGGCGCGCCUAAUACAUGCAAGUCGAGCGAGAAGACGUAGCAAUACGUUUGUAAAGCGGCAAACGGGUGAGGAAUACAUGGGUAACCUACCCUAGAGUGGGGAAUAACUAGCCGAAAGGUUAGCUAAUACCGCGUACGCUCCUUGGACUUCGGUUCAGGGAGGAAAGCGAUGCCGAGGGUAUCGCGCUCUUGGAUGGGCUCAUGUCCUAUCAGCUUGUUGGNGAGGUAACGGCUCACCAAGGCUUCGACGGGUAGCUGGUCUGAGAGGACGAUCAGCCACACUGGCACUGCGACACGGGCCAGACUCCUACGGGAGGCAGCAGUAAGGAAUAUUGCGCAAUGGGCGAAAGCCUGACGCAGCGACGCCGCGUGGGGGAUGAA
This 393-nucleotide ribosomal RNA is filed under the name uncultured bacterium. RNAcentral describes it as "bacterial SSU rRNA". It matches the Rfam family "Bacterial small subunit ribosomal RNA", at positions 29 to 412 of the family's 1533-position model. The record is from RNAcentral.